Molecule: ribosomal RNA, 253 nt
Filed under: uncultured bacterium
Lineage: Bacteria
Description: partial 16S ribosomal RNA
Rfam family: Bacterial small subunit ribosomal RNA
Source: RNAcentral
UACGUAGGGGGCAAGCGUUGUCCGGAUUUAUGGGGCGUAAAGAGCGUGUAGGCGGCCAAACAGGUCCACUGGGAAAACUCGAGGCUCAACCUCGAGAGGUCGGUGGAAACCGUCUGGCUAGAGUCCGGAAGAGGAGAGUGGAAUUCCCGGUGUAGCGGUGAAAUGCGCAGAUAUCGGGAAGAACACCCGUGGCGAAGGCGGCUCUCUGGGACGGUACUGACGCUGAGACGCGAAAGCGUGGGGAGCGAACAGG